GGACCCGGCUCUGGCCCAGCCCGCGGGGCAGCAAGCGAGGGGCUCCCGGCUGCAGGUGCCACCGAGCCCCGGCUGGGGGAGCGCCUGGAUCCAGGGGGUCCCGCACAGGGCCAGGAGCAAGGAUGGGUUUUGUUCCUGAUGCACCCCCAGUGCCAGCCCUCAGUCUGGCUCUUGGUCAGAUGUGGGAUGCUGCAGCCCCUGUGCUGGAGGCAGCAGCAUGCUGGGAACCCUCCUCAGCCUGAUGGGUCCCCUCCCACUUCUCCAGACCCCUCAUCUGUUCCCCUCCCAAGGCCAGGAGGUUUGGUGGUUCCUGCAUUGCUCCAGGGCUGCUGCGACUACUGAGGACCUGGUGGAUGGCAAUGUCCACAGUUGGGUCUGUCACUUGUGUGCUCAGGGUCACCCCAUGGGCUGUGCCCCAAUAAAGUCCUGCUGUCCUGGGC
This is a long non-coding RNA of Apus apus (common swift), 440 nucleotides long. RefSeq lists it as uncharacterized. Lineage: Eukaryota; Metazoa; Chordata; Aves; Apodiformes; Apodidae. The transcript is spliced from 2 exons. The record is from RefSeq and is a predicted model, not a curated record.